This 254-nucleotide ribosomal RNA is filed under the name uncultured bacterium. RNAcentral describes it as "partial 16S ribosomal RNA". It matches the Rfam family "Bacterial small subunit ribosomal RNA", at positions 524 to 776 of the family's 1533-position model. The record is from RNAcentral.
UACGUAGGGGGCAAGCGUUGUCCGGAAUCAUUGGGCGUAAAGAGCGUGUAGGCGGCCCGGUAAGUCCGCUGUGAAAGUCCAGGGCUCAACCCUGGGAUGCCGGUGGAUACUGUCGGGCUCGAGUCCGGAAGAGGCGAGUGGAAUUCCUGGUGUAGCGGUGAAAUGCGCAGAUAAUCAGGAGGAACACCAAUGGCGAAGGCAGCUCGCUGGGACGUGACUGACGCUGAGACGCGAAAGCGUGGGGAGCAAACAGG